UUUUUACCAAAGAUAGACAAAUUAAGACUAAUUGGUUUGCAAAAUAAGUUUAGUUUCAAGAAACUUGGCCCAAUUAUUUACAUAAGUGCAGCAAGAAUAGCAAUUGAUCAUAUAGGCUCUUAAAUCUGCUCUGCUGGAAUUUUUUUAUGAGGAAUCUCAAAUUGAACUGUAAAGACUUCUCAAGGCCAGGAAAGCCAAGCCAAGGACUUGCUGUCAGAUUUUGCCUGCAGUACCUACAGAUUUGGGUGGAUUCCUCUCUUCUUGAGGUCCCCCAAAAUAUUCUGAGGUUCCUUACAUCUGCCAGAUAAGCAAGCUUCCUUACUUACCAGGUAAGAUUGCCAGAAUCUCUGUAAACCAGGUACCAGGCCCAUAUUUCCAAGUGGCUUAUUUCAGAAAGUGAACCUUAUUCCUCAAAGGCUGUAUUGUCAUAUCCGAGUCUGUAUGUUCCUCUCAAAUAUGACAUUCCAGUCAAAGCCUUGGUAAUACAACCAAUGUUUCCAAUUGUGUCCUGUUAUAAGGAAAACAGAUUCUUAUUGAACCUAUGCAAAUAACUAUAUUGCCAUGAAAUAACCAUACUCACUCACAAAGAGUUUCUAAAUUCUGGAGGGUUCAGGUAGGGAGAAAAAGAUAAAUGUUUCAGUUUUGCUCACAAAGGUGUAAUUUCACCAAAUUGCCAAAGUCAUGGUUAGCAUAAGAGAAAAGAGAAAAAGAUUUCCUUGAAUCUGAGAAAACAAAGCAAAACAUCAAAAAAUCAACAAUAUUUCAAAUAAAAGUCAUAAAAAUUAGCAUCCUCAGUUCAUUCAAUCCUGUAUAGUCAGUUCUUGAUCUUAAUCUUCUGUUAGCAGUUUUAUGGGGUCAUCAGUUUCUCCAUUAGAUUUCUGUAAUUUCUUACCCAGAGUUCAGUUCUAUGAUCUGAAAGUUUAUCAGAAGACUGUAAUCCAGAGUAAGUGUCAGAGUCUUUUCCAUGAAUCCCUCUGAAGAUGAGUCAUAUUUGCAAAAGCAAAAGGCAUCAGAGUAAAACAACUGACAGUAAACAACAAAAGACUUAAAAAUGACAAUUGACAGAGGAACUUACUAUUUUUGUCAUAUACAACACCUUAAAAUAAUAUUUAGAAUUAUGGGUGAUAGCCAGGACAGAUCAGAAUUUUAGGAAUGUUAUAUAAUUUUCAAAACACUUAUAUCAAUAACAUUUACCUGCAUAAUACCAACUAAGAAAGAUUAUCAUCACUUUAUCUGACAAUGCUUCCAAUGUAAUUUUAACAGACAAAAUAAGCCUAACUAGUUUAGAAUCUUCCAACUUAUAGGAAGAGAGAGCAAAUUUCUCUGUGAAGUCCCAGUGGCCCUCUGAAAAUCCCCAGAGAAAUCCUCCUCCUUCAUCCAGGUGAAAAGAAAGCCUUUAUUCAGGACUUGAAUAUUUUUGAGGGAGAAGCUUGUGAAAAAUAUCAAAACGUUUUAAACAAGAUCAAGAGGUUGCUGAUUUUGUCAUUGUAAAACAAGCGUCACUGAAACAAUGCUUCAUAAUAGUUAACCAAAGUGACAACAGCAAAAAAAAACCCUUAACAGACCUCUGUCUUUUGCAGAGGAGAUUAUCUUAACCAGAAAUAGAUCUUCUAAACCUUUUAUAAUCUCUUUAUCAAGAGCAGACUAAUAGUGUAAGAAAAGUAUCCUUUUUAGAGAGAAAGCCAAAUUCUUAAUUUCUGUACCAGUUUACUUUUUCAUAUUAAAACCCAUUUACCUAAUUAGAUUCAUUUUAAUCUUAACUAGGUUGACCAGGUACAAAACUCUUUUCAGAAUUUCCAUAAAUUUCUUUUUACAUUCAGAAUUUUUCCCAUACUUUCUUUCUUACUUUCUAGUAUAUUAGGACAAAUUUAUCUUUCUUAACCAAACAAAAAUACUUCCAUUCUUUAUACCCUCUUUACUGAAAACAUACAUUUUACUUUCCUUGAAUACAGAGCUGUUUUCCUUAUUAAUUUCCAGUAACUUUAAUUACAUGUUAAUUAGACUUUUAACCCUUACAGACCCUAAUGAAAACUAAAAACUAAGCAAUUAUGAACUUUUAUAUGAACAUUCUAAACACUUUUCAUAAUUUCUAGAAACAUGCCACUUUACAAUAAAACACGAGGCAUACUUUCCAAUAGACCCAAACACUUUUAGCCUCUUUGCAAUAAGAAGCCAAAAGUAGAUUUACAUUUAAUAAUUAAUGUCUAAUAUCUUAUUUGGAAAUGAUCUAGAUACUCAACAAAUUUUAUCAUUCAAAUUAAAUUAACCUAGCAAAACUUCAACAUUUCAAGUUGCCAAAGAUUUUGGAAGUUAUUUUAAAUACACAUACCGUAAACUAUAAUUAUUGCUAAAAAAGACUUAUCUAUAAACUCUUAUUUCAUUUAUAUCUAAAUCAUUUGUUCCCAAUAAUGAUGUUUAGAUUACCCACAAAAACUUAGAGAUAUUAAACAAUUUUAGCUAGCAUUUAAAGCUAUCAUCCUGACAAAUUUGUAACAGGGAUAACAUAAGCUUUUCUUUUUUUUUUUUUAAACUAAUAAGCCAGGCUGCAUAUUUGCAUCAUAUGCAGUGCUAACUCUGGAGGACAUAUCCAAACAUUUUAAUCAAACCAAGAAACUUAAACUUUCAUUAACCAAAGAUUAAUCCAUAUCAUCUUAACUUAAAAGACAUUGGGUUAAUUUCCAUUGCAUUUAGAAUUUAUGCAAGUGCUUACUUUAAGCCAAUUAAACAGAGCUCUUAGUUUUGGCCAUACCACCCGGGGGUAAAAAUGUCACACACAUAUAGACACACACAGACACAGAGCCUUCACACCUAUUGUUUUAAAAAUCACUCCUUGAAUCUGGUACAAUACAAAGCUCCCUAGUUAUGAAUCCGAAUUUUGUUCUGAGCCUUUUUACUAAUAUUUCUGGAGAAGACACUCAAGAUGCUAGAUUUUUUCUCAGCAAGGGCACGCUUAUGACCUUUCCCCUCUUUUUUUUUUCCUUCAGUCUUAGGAAUUAGUGAUGGGCUAAAUAGCAGUUCCUGGAGAGGGGAGAUGAUAAUCCUUUUUGAGAUAAAGGAAAUGGGUGGAAUCUGAACUGCCUCUAGAGCUGUAUUUCCAGUCUUGCAAGGAUUUUGCAAGGACAGUUGGAAGUUACUAGGUUUAACUUAAUGACAUUCUAGAUUGACCUACUUGUCCAACUACAUCACAAAGGCACAGAGAAACUCCUCAAGUUUUCUCCAAGCUGGAGUUUCUGGGGCAGAACCCAUCCAACUGAAAGUGUUUCCAACUAGUUAAAAUGCACCCAGGGUGUGAGUCUCUGGGUUGAGGCAUUCCUCAUGGCGGUAAAGCUGGUGUUCAACUGACAGCAGCCAGAGAAAGGGUGCAAAAGUGCCUGACUGCAGACAUCAACAUAGUUAUAAGAUCUAGUGAGGUCCCACUUAGCCCAGGGCACUUAGUCCCUGAGCCAGCACAGGGCAAGGCAGGAAGGAGGAGGCAAGGGCCUGGAGCUGGCUGGGAGGGCUGGGGCUCCCUGUGUCUUGGGCUGAGAGUUAAGUACAGAAGGUCCAGGUUCUGGUUAGGUCCAGCCUGAACUUAACCUCGACUUGGUGACAAGAGAGGAGGUUAAAGUUCAGGCUGGACCUGAGCAGAACCUUGACCUUCUGUAAAAUCAAAACUUAAGCCUUUUGCCAGGGACUUAACUCUCAACCUUGGCACUGGGAGUGCCUCCAGACAGUUCCAGACCUUUUUCUCCUGCUUCCCUACCUCAACUGUGCUGGCUCGGAGACAAAGUGCCCAGGCUGAGCGGGACUUGACUAAAUCUUAUAGCUAUGUCAACACCCGCAAUCGGCCUUUGCACCCUUUCUCUGGCUGCUGUCAGUCAGACACCAGCUUUACUACCAUGGGGAAUGCCUCAACCAUCCCCAGAGUCUCGCCCCCUGGGUGCAUUUUAACCAAUUGGAUACGCUUUCAAUUGGAUGGUUUAUGCCCCAGAAACUCCAGCUUGGAGAAAACUUGAGGAGUUUCUCUGUGCCUUUGUGAUGUAGUUGGACAAGUAGGUCAAUCUAGAAUGUCAUUAAGUUAAACCCAGUAACUUCCAACUGUCCUUGGAAAAUCCUCGCAAGACUGGAAAUACAGCUCUAGAGGCAGUUCAGAUUCCACCCAGUUCCUUUAUCUCAAAAAGGAUUAUCAUCUCCCUCUCCAGGAACUACUAUCUAGCCC
Molecule: long non-coding RNA, 4198 nt
Organism: Equus caballus (horse)
Lineage: Eukaryota; Metazoa; Chordata; Mammalia; Perissodactyla; Equidae
Source: Ensembl